Unclassified non-coding RNA from Macaca fascicularis (crab-eating macaque), 147 nucleotides. It matches the Rfam family "Metazoan signal recognition particle RNA". From Rfam's summary of the family: The signal recognition particle (SRP) is a universally conserved ribonucleoprotein. The record is from Ensembl. NCBI's taxonomy places the organism in Eukaryota, Metazoa, Chordata, Mammalia, Primates, Cercopithecidae.
GCCGGGUGUGGUGGCGCACAUCUGUAAUCCCAGCUACUCGGGAGGCUGAGGCAGGAGAAUUGCUGGAACCCAGGAGGCAGAGGCUGCAUGAGCCGAGAUCAUGCCACUGCACUUCUGCCUGGGUGACACGGCAAGACUCUGUCUCAA